This 495-nucleotide ribosomal RNA is filed under the name uncultured bacterium. Its description in RNAcentral is "partial 16S ribosomal RNA". It matches the Rfam family "Bacterial small subunit ribosomal RNA", at positions 28 to 507 of the family's 1533-position model. The record is from RNAcentral.
GACGAACGCUGGCAGCGUGCCUAAUACAUGCAAGUAGAACGCUGAAGGAGGAGCUUUCUUCUCUGGAUGAGUUGCGAACGGGUGAGUAACGCGUAGGUAACCUGCCUGGUAGCGGGGGAUAACUAUUGGAAACGAUAGCUAAUACCGCAUAAGAGUAGAUGUUGCAUGACAUUUGCUUAAAAGGUGCAAUUGCAUCACUACCAGUUGGACCUUCGUUGUAUUAGCUAGUUGGUGGGGUAACGGCUCACCAAGGCGACGAUACAUAGCCGACCUGAGAGGGUGGUCGGCCACACUGGGACUGAGACACGGCCCAGACUCCUACGGGAGGCAGCAGUAGGGAAUCUUCAGCAAUGGACGGAAGUCUGACCGAGCAACGCCGCGUGAGUGAAGAAGGUUGUCGGAUCGUAAAGCUCUGUUGUAAGAGAAGAACGAGUGUGAGAGUGGAAAGUUCACACUGUGACGGUAACUUACCAGAAAGGGACGGCUAACUACGUG